UACAGAGGGGGCAAGCGUUGUUCGGAAUUACUGGGCGUAAAGGGCGCGUAGGCGGCCUGUUAAGUCGAACGUGAAAUCCCUGGGCUCAACCCAGGAACUGCGUCCGAUACUGGCAGGCUUGAAUUCGGGAGAGGGAUGCGGAAUUCCAGGUGUAGCGGUGAAAUGCGUAGAUAUCUGGAGGAACACCGGUGGCGAAGGCGGCAUCCUGGACCGAGAUUGACGCUGAGGCGCGAAAGCCAGGGGAGCAAAGCGGG
Molecule: ribosomal RNA, 254 nt
Filed under: uncultured bacterium
Lineage: Bacteria
Description: partial 16S ribosomal RNA
Rfam family: Bacterial small subunit ribosomal RNA
Source: RNAcentral